GACGAACGCUGGCGGCGUGCUUAACACAUGCAAGUCGAACGGGAUGUAGUAGACAGUGCCCGCGGUGGAAGUGGACAAAUGAGGGUGAAGAACGGGGGAGUAACGCGUGAGCAACCUGACUAUGACAGGGGAAUAGCGUCGGGACACCGGGGGUGAUACCGCAUCAAGUCGGGGGAAGGAAUGUUUUGACGGUCAAAGAUGUAUCGGUCAUAGAUGGGCUCGCGUCUGAUUUGCUGGGUGGUGAGAGAAUAGCCCGCCAAGGCGACGUUCAGUAGCCGGUAGGAGAGGAUGACCCGCCACAAUGGAACUAAGGCACGGUCCAAAAUCCUACGCAAGGGAGCAGUGGGGAAUAUUGCACGAUGGGGGCAACUCUGACGCAGCGACGUCGGGUGAACGAAGAAGGUAGUUGUAUAGUAAAGUUCUGUCCUAUGGGAAGAUAAUGACGGUACCAGAGAAGAAAGCACCGGCUAACUACGUG
This 478-nucleotide ribosomal RNA is filed under the name uncultured bacterium. RNAcentral's name for it is "partial 16S ribosomal RNA". It matches the Rfam family "Bacterial small subunit ribosomal RNA", at positions 28 to 507 of the family's 1533-position model. The record is from RNAcentral.